UGGGGAAUCUUGGACAAUGGGGGCAACCCUGAUCCAGCCAUGCCGCGUGAGUGAUGAAGGCCUUAGGGUCGUAAAGCUCUUUCGCCUGUGAAGAUGAUGACGGUAGCCGUAGAAGAAGCCCCGGCUAACUUCGUGCCAGCAGCCGCGGUAAUACGAAGGGGGCAAGCGUUGUUCGGAAUUACUGGGCGUAAAGCGCGCGUAGGCGGACUGAUCAGUCAGGGGUGAAAUCCCGGGGCUCAACCCGGAACUGCCUUUGAUACUGUCAGUCUUGAGUCCGGAAGAGGCGAGUGGAAUACCGAGUGUAGAGGUGAAAUUCGUAGAUAUUUGGAGGAACACCAGUGGCGAAGGCGGCUCACUGGCUCGAUACUGACGCUGAGGUGCGAAAGUGUGGGGA
Molecule: ribosomal RNA, 394 nt
Filed under: uncultured bacterium
Lineage: Bacteria
Description: bacterial SSU rRNA
Rfam family: Bacterial small subunit ribosomal RNA
Source: RNAcentral